AAUGAACGCUGGCGGCAGGCCUAACACAUGCAAGUCGAACGGAUCCUUCGGGAUUAGUGGCGGACGGGUGAGUAACGCGUGGGAACAUACCCAAAGGUAGGGAAUAGCCUCGGGAAACUGGGAGUAAUACCGUAUGUGCUCGAAAGAGGAAAGAUUUAUCGACUUUGGAUUGGCCCGCAUUGGAUUAGGUAGUGGGUGGGGUAAUGGCCUACCAAGCCGACGAUCCAUAGCUGGUUUGAGAGGAUGAUCAGCCACACUGGGACUGAGACACGGCCCAGACUCCUACGGGAGGCAGCAGUGGGGAAUCUUAGACAAUGGGGGAAACCCUGAUCUAGCCAUGCCGCGUGAUCGAUGAAGGCCUUAGGGUUGUAAAGAUCUUUCAGGUGGGAAGAUAAUGACUGUACCACCAGAAGAAGCCCCGGCUAACUCCGUGCCAGCCGCCGCGGUAA
This 449-nucleotide ribosomal RNA is filed under the name uncultured bacterium. RNAcentral describes it as "partial 16S ribosomal RNA". It matches the Rfam family "Bacterial small subunit ribosomal RNA", at positions 29 to 523 of the family's 1533-position model. The record is from RNAcentral.